UGGGGCUGAAGUAGGUCCCAAGGGUAUGGCUGUUCGCCAUUUAAAGUGGUACGCGAGCUGGGUUUAGAACGUCGUGAGACAGUUCGGUCCCUAUCUGCCGUGGGCGCUGGAGAAUUGAGGGGGGCUGCUCCUAGUACGAGAGGACCGGAGUGGACGCAUCACUGGUGUUCGGGUUGUCAUGCCAAUGGCACUGCCCGGUAGCUAAAUGCGGAAGAGAUAAGUGCUGAAAGCAUCUAAGCACGAAACUUGCCCCGAGAUGAGUUCUCCCUGAGACUUUAAGUCUCCUGAAGGAACGUUGAAGACGACGACGUUGAUAGGCCGGGUGUGUAAGCGCAGCGAUGCGUUGAGCUAACCGGUACUAAUGAACCGUGAGGCUUAACCUUACAACGCCGAAG
This 395-nucleotide ribosomal RNA is filed under the name Klebsiella pneumoniae. Its description in RNAcentral is "partial 23S ribosomal RNA". It matches the Rfam family "Bacterial large subunit ribosomal RNA", at positions 2548 to 2925 of the family's 2925-position model. Lineage: Bacteria; Pseudomonadati; Pseudomonadota; Gammaproteobacteria; Enterobacterales; Enterobacteriaceae. The record is from RNAcentral.